GCGCGAAAACUUUACAAUGCUGGCAACAGCGAUAAGGGAACCUCGAGUGCCAGGUUACAAAUCUGGCUGUCGAGAUGCCUAAAAAGCAUUUCAUAGCAAGGGUCGGGCAAGACCGGUGCCAGCCGCCGCGGUAACACCGGCGGCUCGAGUGGUAACCGUUAUUAUUGGGUCUAAAGGGUCUGUAGCCGGCCGGAUAAGUCUCUUGGGAAAUCUGGCAGCUCAACUGUCAGGCUUUCAGGAGAUACUGUCUGGCUCGAGGCCGGGAGAGGUGAGAGGUACUUCAGGGGUAGGGGUGAAAUCUUGUAAUCCUUGAAGGACCACCAGUGGCGAAGGCGUCUCACCAGAACGGACCUGACGGCAAGGGACGAAAGCUAGGGGCACGAACCG
Molecule: ribosomal RNA, 387 nt
Filed under: uncultured bacterium
Lineage: Bacteria
Description: bacterial SSU rRNA
Rfam family: Archaeal small subunit ribosomal RNA
Source: RNAcentral